Molecule: ribosomal RNA, 368 nt
Filed under: Bacillus cereus
Lineage: Bacteria; Bacillati; Bacillota; Bacilli; Caryophanales; Bacillaceae
Description: bacterial SSU rRNA
Rfam family: Bacterial small subunit ribosomal RNA
Source: RNAcentral
GCGUGAGUGAUGAAGGCUUUCGGGUCGUAAAACUCUGUUGUUAGGGAAGAACAAGUGCUAGUUGAAUAAGCUGGCACCUUGACGGUACCUAACCAGAAAGCCACGGCUAACUACGUGCCAGCAGCCGCGGUAAUACGUAGGUGGCAAGCGUUAUCCGGAAUUAUUGGGCGUAAAGCGCGCGCAGGUGGUUUCUUAAGUCUGAUGUGAAAGCCCACGGCUCAACCGUGGAGGGUCAUUGGAAACUGGGAGACUUGAGUGCAGAAGAGGAAAGUGGAAUUCCAUGUGUAGCGGUGAAAUGCGUAGAGAUAUGGAGGAACACCAGUGGCGAAGGCGACUUUCUGGUCUGUAACUGACACUGAGGCGCGAAA